UGGGGGAUAUUGCACAAUGGGCGCAAGCCUGAUGCAGCGACGCCGCGUGGGUGAUGAAGGCCUUCGGGUUGUAAACUUCUUUUGCUCUGAACAAGGCGCACCAUGGGGUGUGUUGAGUGUAGGGGUUGAUUAGCGCCGGCUAACUACGUGCCAGCAGCCGCGGUACUACGUAGGGCGCGAGCGUUGUCCGGAAUUAUUGUGCGUAAAGGGCUUGUAGGUGGCUGGUUGCGUCUGUCGUGAAAGCUCAUGGCUUAACUGUGGGUUUGCGGUGGGUACGGGCUGGCUUGAGUGCAGUAGGGGAGGCUGGAAUUCCUGGUGUAGCGGUGGAAUGCGCAGAUAUCAGGAGGAAUACCGGUGGCGAAGGCGGGUCUCUGGGCUGUUACUGACACUGAGGAGCGAAAGCAUGGGGAGCGAACAGG
Molecule: ribosomal RNA, 419 nt
Filed under: bacterium
Lineage: Bacteria
Description: partial 16S ribosomal RNA
Rfam family: Bacterial small subunit ribosomal RNA
Source: RNAcentral